UGAUGGGAAGAUGUAGAGAGAAGAUGUCCAUCUACAAGCCAAGGAGAGAGACCUGGAACAGAUUCUCCCUCCCAGCGUCGAUUCCAGUCCUCAGAAGGAACCAACACUGCUGACACCUUGAUUGCAGACUUGCAGCCUCCAGAACUAUUGUUUCAGAAUUUUAGGCUCCGGAAUACUAAUCAUCCUGGUUUUUGGGGUCCAGAAAGUAAAGGCUCAUCCUUGUUCUGAAGUGACCUCACAUUCUAAAAGGUUCCAGAUGAUUGGACCACUUUCUCCCUCCCAGUGAAUUUCCAUUGGAGGCAACUGGAUCCACAAGCAAAGAUGUAUGAUCAGAAAUGCUUCCUGCUACUUGAAUACUAUAGAAAAAAACUGGUAACAACCUGAAUGUCCAAUUAUAGGGGAUUGGUAGAAAAGUAACUGAUGGGACUUCCCUGGUGGUGCAGUGGUUAAGAAUCCACCUGCCAAUGUAGGGGACACGGGUUCGAGCCCUGGUCUGGGAAGAUCCCACAUGCCACGGAGCAACUAAGCCCACAAACCACAACUACUGAGCCUGCAUGCCUAGAACCCGUGCUCUGCAACAAGAGAAGCCACUACAAUGAGAAGCCCAUACACUGCAAUGAAGAGUAGCCCCCCCUCACUGGAACUAGAGAGAGCCUGCACGCAGCAACAAAGACCCAACACAGCCAAAAAUAAAUAAAUAAAUAGAAAAAAAAAAAAAAAGUAACUGAGAGCCUUGGACCUGGAGCCAGAGGCCCUGAGUCCUAAUGCUUGCAUUUCUAUAUUCUGCUUGGUGACCUCAGGAUUUCUUCUCGAACGUGAGAAACUACAAGAGACUCUUGUUUACCCUGCAGCUCGUUAACUUGAUUUUGGAAAUGUUUUAUAAGUACCUAGGAAAUUAUGUUAGAAGUACUGAGUUAAUAAAGCUUUUCCUUGAACAUUAUUUGAAAACUAUAAGAAAGUGAGCUAAUGACUUGUUUGUAUUAAAAAA
Molecule: long non-coding RNA, 988 nt
Organism: Balaenoptera acutorostrata (minke whale)
Lineage: Eukaryota; Metazoa; Chordata; Mammalia; Artiodactyla; Balaenopteridae
Exons: 5
Source: RefSeq, a predicted model, not a curated record